UGGGGAAUUUUGGACAAUGGGCGAAAGCCUGAUCCAGCAAUGCCGCGUGUGUGAAGAAGGCCUUCGGGUUGUAAAGCACUUUUGUCCGGAAAGAAAUCCUUGGCUCUAAUACAGUCGGGGGAUGACGGUACCGGAAGAAUAAGCACCGGCUAACUACGUGCCAGCAGCCGCAGUAAUACGUAGGGUGCAAGCGUUAAUCGGAAUUACUGGGCGUAAAGCGUGCGCAGGCGGUUUGCUAAGACCGAUGUGAAAUCCCCGGGCUCAACCUGGGAACUGCAUUGGUGACUGGCAGGCUAGAGUAUGGCAGAGGGGGGUAGAAUUCCACGUGUAGCAGUGAAAUGCGUAGAGAUGUGGAGGAAUACCGAUGGCGAAGGCAGCCCCCUGGGCCAAUACUGACGCUCAUGCACGAAAGCGUGGGGAGCAAACAGGAUUAGAUACCCUGGUAGUCCACGCCCUAAACGAUGUCAACUAGUUGUUGGGGAUUCAUUUCCUUAGUAACGUAGCUAACGCGUGAAGUUGACCGCCUGGGGAGUACGGUCGCAAGAUUAAAACUCAAAGGAAUUGACGGGGUCAUA
RNAcentral lists this ribosomal RNA (575 nucleotides) under uncultured bacterium. RNAcentral's name for it is "partial 16S ribosomal RNA". It matches the Rfam family "Bacterial small subunit ribosomal RNA", at positions 355 to 923 of the family's 1533-position model. The record is from RNAcentral.